ACACUACCUUUGAGCCCCCGGCGCAACUUCUUGUGGUGCCGGGGGUUAGGCUGUGGUGCUAUAGCACUUUGCUGGCACAUAACUGGGGCUGCCUGCCCUUCUCCCCGAGCUGAAAUG
Small nucleolar RNA from Rattus norvegicus (Norway rat), 117 nucleotides. The record is from Ensembl. NCBI's taxonomy places the organism in Eukaryota, Metazoa, Chordata, Mammalia, Rodentia, Muridae.